UACGGAGGGUGCGAGCGUUGUCCGGAAUCAUUGGGCGUAAAGGGCGCGUAGGUGGCCUGCUAAGCGUGCGGUGAAAGCCUGGGGCUCAACCCCGGGUCGGCCGUGCGAACUGGUGGGCUUGAGCACUGUAGAGGCAGGCGGAAUUCCGGGUGUAGCGGUGGAAUGCGUAGAGAUCCGGAAGAACACCAGUGGCGAAGGCGGCUCACUGGCCCGAUACUGACGCUGAGGUGCGAAAGCGUGGGGAGCAAACAGGG
This 254-nucleotide ribosomal RNA is filed under the name uncultured bacterium. Its description in RNAcentral is "partial 16S ribosomal RNA". It matches the Rfam family "Bacterial small subunit ribosomal RNA", at positions 524 to 777 of the family's 1533-position model. The record is from RNAcentral.